Molecule: long non-coding RNA, 1275 nt
Filed under: Mytilus galloprovincialis (Mediterranean mussel)
Lineage: Eukaryota; Metazoa; Mollusca; Bivalvia; Mytilida; Mytilidae
Source: RNAcentral
CACGUCGAUGACUGCCGGUAUAUUAUAUAGGGAGUCUAUAUAUAUUAAAGGAGCAUAAUCAUAGUAUACAUGUAGAAUAACGCGAAAAUAAUUGUCCUGUCCCCGAGUAAUUAUGAAAAUUAUGUUUAAAAGUUUAAAGUCUUGUCUAUGACUUAAAAAAUCGACCUGAUGACUGACGGAAACAAUACACGGACGCCAUUUUUUCGUUUUUCUCCCAAAAUAACCCAAACUGAAUAAUCAUAAGAAUGGAUGACAAAUGCGACUAUGCAUGGUACCUAUAGGACACAGAGGGAUAAUGAUUCAUUUAUUGCGGAAAGAAGAGAAGCGACACACAAAAUGAGGUCUUCUCGUUUAAUAGUAUAAAUAAGUUCUCAUUUUAGAAAAGGAUGAAAGAAUGUUAAUUUUACAAGCGAGUUUACUCAUGUAAAUGCACAGUAUUGUUAUGUAGAUUGGUUCAAAGCUUUUGUCCGAUUGACGUAUUUUCAAAUUUUUCGUUAGCCUAAGAUAGAGAGACUUAAGAAACCAAACUUCGAAAAUUAACAGACGACGCCAUGGAAGAAAAAGAAAAGAGGAAGACGAACAGAAAAAUAUAUAAAGAAAGUACACAUUGAAUAUGUUUUGAGCACUCAAUCCUCCUCGUAACUUGUGAUAAUGUGCAGUGUCCGGGGGCGUUAAAUAAAACAUAAGAAUCAGCUACAAAUCAACAAAUCAACUCAUGAUCUGUACGAAACACAAAAAAAUAAACAACUAAGUAAACAUAAAAGCAAUAGACAAAAAGCACCGAUAUAACAGCGCAUACAUUUACCGAUAGCCUCAAAGCUUAUUACAACCAAUAAAUAAAUCAUGUUCUAUUAAAGCUUAAAGUAGCAAACAGUACACACUCAUUGGAUUUAGAGCAACGCGUCAUAAAAAGUCGCACGACCUUGUGAAUGUCAAAAUAUAGUAAACAGUAUCGAGAAGAUCUAUAGGGUCUUGUGUAUCAAUAAAUAUACAUACAUUGUAUCAAUUUUAUCUUCAUGCCUAAUCUAUCAUGUCCUGUGUUACAACUCUAGAUUCUACUGGCGAUGAAAGGUAACACUAGGCCACCGAACGUGAUUUUUUUUAGUUCAGUCUAGAUGACCGAGUGGUCUAGAGGGGUGGACACAGUGCAUGCUGAUCUGUCUCGAUAUCCCGAUAGCAUGAGUUUGAAUACGGUGAGGGAAAAACAACAAUUUUCAGAUUUAAAAAGCUGAUAUUUAGUUUGUACAAAAAAUAAUGAACAAAUUAUGAUUAGAA